AGGGAAUAUUAGAAAUGGACGAAAGUCUGAUCUAGCGACACCGCGUGUGCGAAGAAGGCCUUCGGGUUGUAAAGCACUUUUUGGAAGGAAUAGGAAGGAAGGUACUUCCAGAAUAAGUCUCGGCUAACUACGUGCCAGCAGCCGCGGUAACACGUAGGAGGCAAACGUUAUCCGGAUUUACUGGGCGUAAAGCGCGUGUAGGUGGUUCUGUAAGUAGGGCGUGAAAGCUCCCGGCUCAACUGGGAGAGGCCGUUCUAAACUGCAGAGCUAGAGGAUGGUAGAGGGAGGUGGAAUUCCAGGUGUAGCGGUGGAAUGCGCAGAUAUCUGGAGGAACACCAGUGGCGAAGGCGGCCUCCUGGACCAUUCCUGACACUCAGACGCGAAAGCUAGGGUAGCAAACGG
This 402-nucleotide ribosomal RNA is filed under the name uncultured bacterium. Its description in RNAcentral is "bacterial SSU rRNA". It matches the Rfam family "Bacterial small subunit ribosomal RNA", at positions 356 to 775 of the family's 1533-position model. The record is from RNAcentral.